Oryctolagus cuniculus (rabbit) is the source of this 14893-nucleotide non-coding RNA. Lineage: Eukaryota; Metazoa; Chordata; Mammalia; Lagomorpha; Leporidae. The record is from RefSeq and is a predicted model, not a curated record.
CUUUCCCACUCCCUCUCCCCUUCCAUUCACAUCAAGAUUCAUUUUUGAUUCUCUUUAUAUACAGAAGAUCAGUUUAGCAUACAUUAAGUAAAGAUUUCAACAGUUUGCACCCCCAUAGAAACACAAAGUGAAAUAUACUGUUUGAGUACUCGUUAUAGCAUUAAAUCUCAAUGUACAGCACAUUAAGGACAGAGAUCCUACAUGAGGAGUAAGUGCACAGUGACUCCUGUUGUUGACUUUACAAAUUGACACUCCUGUUUAUGGCAUCAGUAAUCUCCCUAUGCUCCAGUCAUGAGUUUCCAAGGCUAUGGAAGCCUUUUGAGUUCUCCGACUCUUAUCUUGUUUAGACAAGGUCAUAGUCAAAGUGGAGGUUCUCUCCUCCCUUCAGAGAAAGGUACCUCCUUCUUUGAUGACCUGUUCUAAGAAAAGAUUCUAAUAUGUGCCCGAGACAAAGACCAGAUUACCAUCAGAAAAAUCCUCAAUUAGACUAAUAGCUGAUUUAUCAUCAGAAACCCUGAUGGCUAAGAAAGAAUGGAGACAUAUAGCUUACUUCCUAAAUGAAAGAAACUUUCAACUCAGAAUACUGUAACCAGAAAAGCUCUCAUUUGUAAAAGAAGAUGAAAUUUUUAAAAACCGUUCAAAACAAAUGAAAAUGGGAAGAAUUUGUUACCACUGGCUUAACCUUACAAAUGUUCGUAAGUAUGUGCUACACACAGAAACAGAAAAUGAUAGUCAUCAUUAUGGAAAAAUGUGAAGGCAGAAAAUCUCCUAGUAAACGUACAAAGGAACUCCAAAGCAAACAAUAUGUAUAUUUCUGCAAAAAUGUUAGGACUAAGUCAUUACUUAUCAAUAAUAAGCUUGAAUGCAAAUCGCCUAAAUUUUAAGAUUAAAAGAGACGUACUGGAUGAAUGGAGUAAAAAACAAGACCUAUCUGUUUGCUGCCUAUAAGAAACACACCUCAGAAACAAAGAUGCACACAGACUGAAAGUGAAAUUAUGGAAAAAGAUAUUCCAUGCCAAUGGAAAGCAAAGAUGAGCAGGUGUAGCCAUCCUAAUAUCUGACAAAAUACACUUUAACACAAAGCUGUAAUAAGAGAUGAAGAAGUGAAUUAUGUAAUGAUUAAGUUAUGAAUUCAAAGGGGAGAUGUGACUAUAGUAAAUGUAUAUGUAAACAAUGCCAGGGGUCCUAGCAAUUUAAAACAAAUAUUAAUGGAUCUAAAGGGAGACAUAGACUGAAUUCUAUCAAACUUUUAAAGAAGUUAUUCCAAUUCUUAUCAAAUUAUUCAAAGCUAUUGAAAGGGAAAGAUUCCUACAAAACUCCUUCAAUGGGCUAUCAUUACCUUAAUUCAAUCAGAAAAAGAUACAAUCAAGAGAACUAUAGACCAAUAUCCCUGAUGAACACACAUGCAAAAACACUCAGCAAAAUACUACUGAUAAAAUAAAAUAACACAUCAGAAAGUUCAUUCACCCAGAUCAAGUGGAAGUUAACACUGAUAUGCAGGGAUGGCUCAAUAUAAGCAAAUCAGUAAAUAUGAUCCAUCACCUUAACAAAUUUGAAAAUAAAAACCAUAUGGUUAUCUCAAUAGAUUCAGAGAAAUUGUUUGAUAAAAUAUAACAUCUUUUCAUGAAAAAAUAAACUUAAGGAACACAAUCAAGGAAAUAUAUGACAAACCCACUGCUAGCAUCAUAUUGAAUGGGGAAAAAUUGGAAGCAUUUCCACUAGGAUCUGGAACCAGACAAGAAUGCCAACUCUCAACAUUUCUAUUCAAUUUAGUUCUAGAAGUUUUAGGCGGAGCCAUUAGGCAAGAAAAAUAAAUCAAAGGGAUACAAAUUGGAAAGGAGGAAAUCAAAGUAUUCCUGUUUGAAGAUAACAUGAUUCCAUAUGUAGGGGAACCAAAAUACUCCACUAGAAAAAUAUUCCAACUCAUACAAGAGUUUUGUAAAGUUUCAAGAUAUUAAAUCAGCACACAAAGAUCAAUUGCCUUAGUAUACACAAAGGAUACCAUGGCUAAAAAAGAACUUGUAAGAUCAGCCCCAAUCAUAACAGCUACAAAAAAAAAAAAAAAUUAAAUAGCUUGGGAUAAAUUUAACCAAGGGCGUGAAAAAUCUCUUCAGUGACAAUUAUGACACAUUAAAGAUAAAAUUUUAAAAGGACAGAAAAAAUGGAAAAAUCUUCCAUGUUCAUGGAUGGGAAAAAUUAAUAUCAUCAAAUGUCCAUAAUACCAGAAGCAGUGCAUAGGUUUAAUGCAAUUCCAAUCAAAAUAUCAAUGGCAUUCCUUCCACAUCUAGACAAAAUGAUGCUAAAAUUCAAAUGAAAGCAAAAGAGACCCUAAAUAGCUAAAGCAGUUUUAAAUAAUAAAAAAAAGCUGGAGGCAUCACAAUACCAGGCUUCAAGAUAUACUAUAGGGAAGUUAUAAUCAAAACAACUUAGUACUGGCACAAAAAUAUGCAUGUAGAACAAUGGAACAGAAUAGAACCCUUGGAAUUUAAUCCAUGCAUCUACAACAAACGAAUUUUUGACAAAGAAGCUGAAAUCAAUUCCUGAAGAACUGACAAUCUUUUCAACAAACAUUGCUGGGAAACUGGAUCUACACAGGAAGAAUUAUGAAUCAAGAACCCUACCUUGAACCUUAUAUAAAAAUCAAUUCAAAAUGGAUAAAUGAUCUAAAUCUAAGACCUGAUAGAAUCAAAUUGCUAGAGUAAAACAUCAGGGAAUUCCUGAAAUACAUUUGCAUAAGCAAAGAAUUCUUGAAAAAGAUCCCAGAAGCACAGUCAAUAAAGACAAAAAUAGGGAAAUGGGAUUACAUCAAGCUAGGAAGCUUCUCCACAGCAAAGGAAGCACUCAACAAAAUGAAGAUGCAACCAACAGAAUGGGAGAAAAUAUUUGGAAAAUAUGCUACUGAUAAAGGAUUAAUAUCCAGAAUGUAUAAACUGUUCAACAUAUUCAACAACAAAAUAAACAAUCUAAUUAGAAAUGGUCAAAGAACAUGAACAUACCAUUUUCAAAUGAUGAAGUAUAAAUGGCCAGGGCUGGAUAAAUGGCUAAGGCAGGCACUGUGGCUCAGCAGCUUAACGCCCUGUUUUGCAGCAUGCCAGCUUGAGUACUGGAUGCUCCACUUCCAAUCCAGCUCUCUGCUAUGGCCUGUGAGGGCAGUGGAGGUGGCCGAAGUCCCUGCAUCCUUGGGAGACCUGAAGGAAGCUCCUGACUCCUGGCUUCAGAUCAGCGCAUUGCAGCCAUCUGGGGAGUGAACCAGUGAAUGGAAUACCUCUCUGUCUGUCUGUCUGUCUCUCUCUCUCUUUCUCUCUCUCUCUGCCUCCAUCUCUCUGUAACUCUGCCUUUCAAAUGAAUAAAUAAACCUUUUUUAAAAAAAUACAAAUGGCCCACAGAUGCAUGAAAACAUGUUCAGGAUAACUAACCAUCAGGAAGUGGAAAUCAAAACAAUGAGGUUUCACCUCACCCCAGUUAUAUUGACUAUCAUCCAAAAAUCAAAACAUAGUAAAUACAAGUCAGUAUGUAUGAAAAAGUACCCCAGUUUACUGUUGGUGGUUAUUCAGACUAGUACAGCCAUUGUGGAAGAUGGUAUGAAAAUUCCUCAUGAAUCUGAAAAUAGAUCUACCAUAUGACCCAGCCAUCCCACUCCUGGGCAUUUACCCAAAUGAAAAGAAAACAGCAUAUGAAAGUUGCUGUACUCCCAUGUUCAUAGCAACUCAAUUCACAAUAGCUAAUACAUGAAAUCAAAUAUCCAUCAAAUGAAGACUGGAUAAAGGAAACACUUUAUAUAUGCAUGAUGGACUAUUACAUAGCCAUAAGAAAGAAUGAAGUCCCAUCUUUUGCAAUAGAAUUGAUGCAACUGCAAACAGUCAUGCUUAGUGAAAUAAGCCAACCUCAAAAUUGACAGCUCUUUUUAAAAGAAACCAGUUGGCACUUUAGAAAUAUUUCCUAGAAUUUUCAUUUCUGCAUUUAAAGGUAACUAAAUAGGUAUUUUCUGUUCCAAGCCAGUAUAGAUGAUAAUUUUGCCACUAAUAAUUCUGCAACUAAUGAGUCUAAAAACAGUGGCCUUCAUUUUUUGUUAUGAGAGGCUAAGCAUUUAGGCUAUUCCUUUUUUGUGAUUUGGUUGGGUUAGCCAAAACAUAAAAUGAAAGAAGUUACUAUUUUAGAUAAAAGCUAAAUUGAUUUUAUUUUCAGGGCCCUGGAUUUGAAGUAUAGCCAAUACCUCUUUUCACAAUAUUUUGGUCAGAAAUACAUUCUAGUUGUUUAUUAUGUACCCUCCUUAAUUUUAUUUGCUGUGGUCUGAUGACAUGGGUUUAUGUUGUCUCUUUGGCACAGUAUUAAUACUUUCAUCAUCAUCAUUCAAACUGUAGCAAAUAAAUCAGGAAAAAUGAAACAAAGGAAGAUGACUACUUUCUGUAUCAUUUUUCUGACAUUUAAUUUUCAUUAUCAGGAAUAAACACAUUUAAAUACAUCAGAACAUUUUUUACAAGAUGAAGAAAUGUAUCUUCUAUGAAGCCAUGGUUUGAGCCUUAUGUAUAUUUAGAUUUCCUAUUGCAUCAUUCUGUGUGGGUACAGGAUAACCAUUAUAUUCGUGUGUUCUAUUCAACUCUGCCUCUCUCUGUAUCCCUAGGAGUAUCUUACACUCAUAAGUAUGUUAUAAUAGCUCCCAUUAAAAGAACCACGUAGCUGAGAAGUCCCAGAAUAAAUACAUGAAGGACUUUAACAACAUUACAAGAGAUACAUAAAAAUUCAAUACAGCAAGCUAAAAGAAGUAUAAGAUAACACAUGCUCAACAAAUUUUUUGUUUAGUUGAGCGAACAGAAUUAUAAGAGUGAUAAAGGAAGAAUGCUAAGUUCCUUUUUUCGUAGAUUUCCCAAAGCAAUAGGAAGCGCAGCAAACAAAGCCCUUCUAAAAAAAAUCCUAGAAUAUUUAUUUUAAGAAUUGAAAGCACACAGGAAUGCAGAGAGCAGGUUGUAGAAAUUGUGAGGCUGCUUGAUUUUUGUCUAGAUGUUUGCCACUGUAUAAUUUAUCUUUCAGGGAGUUGGCAUCCUGAUGAAUUCUUACUGAAGGAAUGAAGUGUUUUGAGAUAAGUUCACAGAAACUGAAAUAUCAUUGUCAUUCCUAGUCCACAAGAGGGUUGUGGGCCAGUGACUAUGACAGGCUUCAUGAUAUUGUUGAAAUAUUAAUCUGAAACUACUUGCUCCAAUAUUUCACCACGCAUGCUUCACUCUAUGGUAUGUGGCUUUCUGCAGCAGAGCAGCACAGGCUAAACCGAGGAGAAGUGAGUGUGUCUAGGAGAAGUUUGUACCAGGUUUCAUGCCAUGAACUAUGUUGGCCAAGAAAGUGGUAGAAGGUGGACCAUGGUUUGCUUGACCUUACUGGAUUGACAAGGCACACCGUGCUCUAAAGGCCAUCAGCAGGGAGCUGGAUUGGAAGCAGAUCAGCUGGGACACAAACUGGCACGCAUAUCGGAUUGCCUGCAUCACAGGUAGCAGCUUACCUGCUGUGCCACAAUGCCAACCCUAAAUACAGGUGUACUUUUAUACCACUGUUGACUCUGAUUGUAUAUAUGUCUGGAAUCCUACCUAUGGUGUGGUUCUCAUAGACUUACCCUGGCUCAAAAGGAAAGAGUAAGGUUUGAAGAAAAGCUUCCAAGCAACCAUUCUGCAAGUACAUGCAAGCUGUAUAAGAAAGAAAUAGCUUUUUAGACUUCAACAAGUAGUAGCAUUUGUGAUUUGGUGAGCAAAGAGGAAUCUCAAAUUUCCUUCAACCAUUGAUUCACCACAACUGAACUGAGGGGUUUUUGUUUGUGGUGUUUUGUUUGCUUGGCUACAUAUGUGUUUUUCAAGGACAAAUUCUUACUCAUGGGUGAUAGAGGUAUUUUUGGAAGAAUAUUCUAGGUUACUUUCAUGACUGAACUGGCCAAGUUACUAUUUAGCAAACUCUGUUGCUUAUGGAAGCACUGAAAUUUUAUGGCUGAUAUAGUUACAUGGCUUUGCAUUUGCUCAUCUUAGACUGGUUUACAGAAUAAACUAGAACAGUCUUCUAAAAAACAUUGUACAAAAGAGCUUGUAUAAAUUACAUCCCCUUAGGCCGGCAUGGCGGCUCAACAGGCUAAUCCUCUGCCUAGCGGCGCCGGCACAUGGUGUUCUAGUCCUGGUUGGGGCGCCGGAUUCUGUCCCAAUUGCCCCUCUUCCAGGCCAGCUCUCUGCUGUGGCCCAGGAGUGCAGUGGAGGACGGCCCAAGUGCUUGGGCCCUGCACCCCAUGGGAGACCAGGAGAAGCACCUGGCCCCUGGCUUCGGAUCAGUGCAGUGCGCCGGCCACAGUGCGCCGGCUGCGGCGGCCAUUGGAGGGUGAACCAACGGCAAAGGAAGACCUUUCUCUCUGUCUCUCUCUCUCUCUCUCACUGUCCACUCUGUCAAAAAGAAAUAAAAAUUACAUCCCCUUAGAGAUUUAAUUAUUGUUGAGUAACUGCUUUCUUCAAAAUGGUCUCAUCACAGUUUUACAGACUGUAUUUUUUCCUUGAAGUUCAUAUAAUCAUGUGCCAAUUAGUGAUUGGAUACAUUCUGAGAAAGGUAUUUUAGGCAAUUUUGUCACUCUGUAAGCAUCACAAAAUGUACUUGCACAAGCUAAGAAGGCUGUGAUGUCACCAAAUGCUCUAAUGUUAUGGAACAACAUUCUUACAUGUGUGUGGUCCAUCGCUGGCUGUACAGGCAUUAUGUGCUAUAUGGCUAUAUUGAUAUUAGAAGUAAAAAUGUUUACUAUUUUAUAGCUAUAACUAUUAUCUUUUCAGUACUCAUUUUAUUAGUUAUUGACUACCUGGACUUUGAAAGUGUUAAUUAGUUUGACAUGGAUUUUAAAGGAAUCUGAAGAUGACAUCAUCUUUCCAAAAAAGCUGUAUACUUGAAUUAAUUUAGAUUUUUAAAAAUAAUGUGCAAUUUUGAAGUCUCUUUUCCUCCUUAAAAUCUCCAUCUGGGGCCCGGCAUUGCGGCGCAGUGGGUUAAUCCUCUGCCUGCGGCACCAGCAUCCCAUAUGUGUGCUGGUUCUAGUCCCGGCUAUUCUUCUUCCAGUCCAGCUCUCUGCUGUGACCCAGGAGAGCAGUGGAGGAUGGCCCAGGUUCUUGGGCCCCUGCACCUGCAUGGGAGACUGGGAGGAAGCUCCUAGCUCCUGGCUGCGGAUCGGCAUAGCUCCAGCCGUUGCAGGCAUUUAGGGAGUGAACCAACGGAAGAAAGACCUUUCUCUCUGUCUCUCCUUCUCACUGUCUGUACCUCUCAAAUAAAUAAAAUCUUUGAAAGAAAAAUCUUCAUCUGAACUUUGUAACAGCAGCUGGAGAUCUUGACGGUAAUUGUUGUCAGGCAUUUGAAUAAUUUUAGGCUUAGAAAAGAUUUUAAAGAUCAGUUAAUCCAAACCUUUUGUAUUAGUUUAUCUUAUAUUAUUUUCUAGUUUCAUUUAAAAAUAACCCUUUUGAAGCAGGCAUUCUGGUGUAGAAGGUAAAGCUACCAGCUGUGAUGCCAGCAUCCCAAAUGGUCACCAAUUCAAGUUCUAGCUCCCUGUUAAUGGCCUGGGAAAAGCAGUAGAAAAUGACCCAAGUGCUUGGGCUCCUGCUCCCCACGUAGGAGGCCUGGAAGAAUCUCCUGGCUGCUGGCUUUGGCCUGGCUCAGCUCUGGCCAUGCGCCCAUCUGUGGAGUGAAGCAGCAGAUGGAAGAUAGCCCUCUCUUUCGUGCUCUCUCUGGCUUUCCUUCUUUUUGUAACUCUUUCAAAUAAAUAAAUAAAUCGUGUGUGUGUGUGUGUGUGUGUGUGUAUUCAGUUUCCACACAUAGAAACAUCUUACACAGCCACCAUACAAUUUUUUUUUUUUUACAGGCAGAGUGGACAGUGAAAGAGAGAGACAGAGAGAAAGGUCUUCCUUUGCCGUUGGUUCACCCUCUAAUGGCCGCAGUGGCCAGCGCACCAUGCUGAUCCGAUGGCAGGAGCCAGGUGCUUCUCCUGGUCUCCCAUGGGGUGCAGGGCCCAAGCACUUGGGCCAUCCUCCACUGCACUCCUGGACCACAGCAGAGAGCUGGCCUGGAAGAGGGGCAACCGGGACAGAAUCCGGCGCCCCAACCAGGACUAGAACCUGUUUUACCGGCGCCGCUAGGCAGAGGGUUAGCCUGUUGAGCCGCGGCACCGGCGCCACCAUACAAUUUUAAAACUAGAAAAUUAAAAAUGCUGUGAUAGGAUCAACUAUUUCACAGGUCUUACUCCAUUGGACCCACUAAUAUUAUUUUUCUGGUCUAGAAUCCAAUUCAGAUCAUGGGAUUUGGUUUCUGGUCUCCUAAAUCAACUUCAGUCUGUGACAAUUCCUCAGUCUGUCUUUCACAGUACUGACACUUUUAAAGAGCACUGGUUCCUUCUCUGGCAAAAAAUCCCUCAGUUGCAGCCCAUUCAUUUUCAAGAUGAUCCCCUAGGAGCCCCAGCAAAUCAGCGUGAGCACCUUGUUCACAAGUUCAAGACUGUUUUCCUCUCAGAAUUUCCAGAGGAUCACUAGCUGCUUCAAGGGGCUUGGGGGGGGGGGGGUGUUGAUAGGGAUAGAAGAGUUCUAUAGCUAAUACCAUACAGGUAGAUUACAGAUCUCCUGCAGUCGGGUUUUGUACUGAGCUCCAAGAUGACGGUGGCAUGCACAAACUAAAAACCAAAAGCUAGGAGUUUGUAGCCUGUGUCCACAAAACAUUAUAACCUGACUAGCAGCAAAGUGGUAGCAACGUGCUCUUUGAGAUAGGAUUUUUUUCCAAGACUGGUGUUAGACACAGAGUUCUGUAGAAGGUCAACAAAGAGUGGCAACUGAUGGGGAAAUCAAAACAAAGCUACCCCCCCCCCCCCGCACAUAAACAGAUGAUGAUGAUGAUCUUAUAUUUUUCCCACACACUACCCAACCCCCAUCCCCGGUGUGUUUCCCUAAAGCAAGACACCUUGUGCUGUGGUUUAGCAGAUCCGAGUGCCUAUACCCAGGGACCAGAGCUAACAGCAGAGCUCCCUCUACCCCUGGCCUCCCCGGGAUGCUGGCGAGUCCACGGGGAGAGGCAGACAGCAGGAGAGGCAGGCAGGCUCCGUGGCGCGUGCAGACAGACCCCAGUCUGCAGCCGCCCGCAGCGGUGGGGAGAGGAGGACGCUGAGGCAGCACCCCCUCCCCUCACCCCCACCCCAAGUUCACAGCCCAGGCCCGGGCUCCGCGGGCUGCGCAAGGGUCCCGGAGACUCCGGCUCCAGCCCGCUGGGCGGCGCCGCGCUCUGCCCCAGCUGCCUGGUGCCGCCUCCGCCGGCAGCGGCGAGGCCCACGUGGAAUGCAGCUGGGGUCCUGAGCGCCUCUCCCUCCACACUCCCGGCACCGCACCGGAAAAGUUCGCCCUGGCGGGAGCUCCGCCGCAGCGGUGAGCUCACUCCUUGUGGACAGCGCGGGGCUCCCUGAGUCUUCGGUUCCCCCUGUUCCCGGCGGCACAGUGGCCGGGACCCAAGGGGACUCGCAGCACCCCGUAGUUUGAAUGCCGGGCUCCGGCUUAUCUGCGCUCCGACAGCACCUCCGGCUCUGAGCGGUGCGAGAGGUGAGCGGAAGCAGAACAGCAGUGGAAGCCUCUGGGGAAUGCAGGGCGACGGGAGCCUGGAACUUAGGAGCAAAAAUAAUAAGAAAAAGCCGCGUCCUCCGGACCAGGAGCUGAGACAGACAAACAGCAGGGUGUCGGUGACAAGGAAGCCUGCACACAGAGACCUCAUCCCUCAGGGGGCUGACCACCCGGGCAACCUCUGGGGACUUUGGAGAAUGAUCCUCUGCCUUCAAACUUGUCAUGGUGAUUGUGGAGAAGUGACAUGGACAAGGCAAAGAAGAGACUCCAUGGAACACCUUGGUGACUCCUGGGGAGCACGGCUCUGCCUCUGCCAAGAUUAAAUGCACGCGAGAGUCCAAAGAUGCCAUGUUACACUUUGCAAGGACCCAUCAGGUGUGCAUUAGACCGAAAAGCAACAGUCCAAGCAGUAGUCACAGAACUCCUUUUCAAAGGAAAAUCUAUGUGAGUCCAGAACAUGGAAUAUAGAAUAUGAUCUCCACGUCCACGUUGGGAUGCAAGCCCCACACUUUGCCUGCUUUCUCCCUGACAGAAGGCUCUCUUAAUUUGGAUUUUAUAAGCUAUGGAAAGCAUUUUGCUCACCCUGCUAAUUUGGUUUUAUCUGCAUUGUAUCCUUGAAUGCAAUUUGUGCAACACUCCCAUGAGAGUAAUGGAAUGAUGCCUAGUUUAUAAAUAUAGAAAUGGAAUUUCAGAGAAGAAAAGAAAAUUGGUUAAGUUUUACAGAUAAUGUAGAUAAUUAAUUGUGGAUCUAUGAUUUGAAGAUGGGUACAUAGAUAAACUGGUGCACCUAACGUUUGCAUUAUAAUAAGAAUGUGUGAUCUUGUCACUUCAAGAAGUAUGGUCACUGAUUGGAAAAGAAAGCCCCUUUCAAUAGGCUGAGCGUGUCUUAACACAGAGUAAUGCCAAUUCACAGUCUUUUGCAGGAGAGGAAUAGUCUCUCAUUUUCUUGUUUUAUAGGGACAUCUAUCCCCAGCCCACAGUUUAUGAGCAACAUUUUGUCAGCAGGCAGGAGUGGUGGCUCCCUCUAAUUAAUCCUCUUCUCACCCCACACCUCUGAGAGUGAGAAAUGAAAAGCAGUUAAAGGGAGUACAGUUACAACCCACAAAGGGACCACACAAAAUGUCAUCUUAGGGCGCAACACAUUGCUCCCUUCAUCCGUCCUAGUCCUGAGUUUCCAUCUCUUCAGGGCAGACAGGGUUUCUGGCUGGCUGAGAGAUUCGUUAGCAGCAAACUCUGUGAUAGUAGACAAAACUGUACUCUAAGUUAAAGUCUAUGUGUCAGCAGCUUUUCCUCAUUCUAUACGUGUUACACUGAAGACAGAGAAAGGCAUGGAGAAGAGAGGAAUUAUUGUUGAAAUUGAGGGCAGAGAGUUGAAACAUAACUCCAGCAUAUCCACACAACAAUUUAGGGUUAAAGUACUUAAUCAUUCUGGGCCUCCUGCAAUGUAGGGAUCUGAUACGUGUCUCCCAGUUAGGUGAAUUAAUGAUAGGUGCUGAAUAGCCUAGUACCUGCUACACAGUCAAUUUUCAAGGCUAAUAAUAAUAUAAAUUGAAAGCAACUAAACCACUUCUAUGAGGGAACUAAUUUUUUGCAAUGAAAUAAACUUUUUAUUUUGUUUUCCCAUAAACUUCUUGAAGGACCCUAUUUCUGUCUUCCCAUAUAUAAGUUAUAAAGCGCAUUCACAUCAGAACAGUUCAUCCUCACAAUGAUCAGUUAAGGCAGUCAGGCACUCUUAAUUCUUUUCCCGAAUGUCUCAUGAGUUGAAUGGCUGGCUUGUUCAGAUUCAGUAGAGGGCUCUGUUCUCCACAGCAGUGUUACCUGGAAGGGCACAGUAGCCCUUCCAGCCCUGGAACAGGCUGGAUGAUUUUGUGAGGAACACCCUCAAAACAUAGGCCCUUGGGGUCUCCUACAUAAGACAUAUGGCUUUUAUAGACCCGAGACUUAACACCAACCCUGCAGUGCAUGGUAGGCACCUCUACAAAAUCUCAAUCUUGUUUCACUGCUUUGAUAAAUUUCAGAGUGUUGAUGCUAUUGACUUUUCUGUUCUUUUAAAACAUAGGGCAACACUGUCUCUGUAUAAUAAGCAAUUAAAGUUUCUCUUCCUCUAAGAAUCAAGAAAAUAAAUUAUGGGGAGGGUUGGUGCAAGUCCAAGCCUUGGGUUUGACUUUUCUAAUGGGGUAAAAGCUAGGAAAUUCCAUGAUAUAGUUUUUUUUUUUUUUUUAAAGAUGCACUACUUUAUUGAAAGUCAGAGUUACAGAGACAGGUGGGGGGUGGGGGAGAGAUCUUCACCACUGGUUCACUCCUUAAGAGGCCCCAAUGGCCAGGGCUGAGCCAGGUCAAAGCCAGGAGCAUAGAACUCCAUCGGGGUCUCCCACAUGGGUGCAGGGGUCCAAGCACUUGGCCCAUCUUGCCAGGUGAAUUAGCAGGAAGCUGGACUGGAAGCGGAGCAACCAGGACUCCAGUGAUCGUAUGGGAUGCUGGCACUGUAGACUGUGGCUUAACCCACUGUACCACAACCUGCCAGCCCCCUGCCGCAGAAAGUUUUAACUGAUUCAUUUUAAAAUCAGAACACACACUUCUAGGAUAGUAGCUAGUAUUCACUCAUUGUUACUUCUUUAUUCUUCCCCUCUAGGGGCUGUUGUUACCUCCCAAGGCUCUACCUGAAACAGCAGUCAGACCUGGGGUCUGCAUCUUCCUCCCUGCUCUGGGGUUACAGAGACCCCAGGAGAGCCCAAGACCCUUCUGGGGCACCAGUGACAUGUAACCCCUCCUCCCCUCUGCCCCGCCUCUCCUCCCGCACUAAGGCAUGUCUGCCCUGGCUGUGGACCUGGUUCUUCUGUAGCCAUGGAGCCUCCCGAAUUUAUUGAAUUAGCUAGAAUUUUGUGUUCUCCCUCUAGGAUCUGGACUUUUGAAAUACUGAACACAGGAUGGCCACCCUGGCUGCUUGGGAGAGUUAGAGGACCAGUGUCCUAGGUCAAUGCAAGGACGAGAGAGCCAUCAGUUCUUCAACUCCCUUUCUGCCAAGUUUCACCGUGCCAUCCCCACGUGUCUGUGCAUCACUGGUGCUCUCUCAUGGGUUUGUAGUCUCAGGGAACAAGCCCUAGGGUGUGCAGGGCAGGGGCCGAGGGCAUGCACUGUCCUCUCCAAGCCUCACAGGGGCUCUGCAGGACAGAAGUCAGCACUUGUACGGCAGAUGCAGAAGUAAACACAUCUCGCAGAGAUCGCAGAGUGAUGGCCAAGAGCUGGCAUUCUCCAUCCCAUGUCUGUCUGACUCCAAAUUCAAAGCUUGUGCCAAGAGCUCUUCUGCGAAUUCACUUGUUUUGAACUUCCUGCCGUGAAGCGAGAAUUUGUCUUUGUGACUGUAUCUGCCUUGUUCAAGUGGGACUCCGAGAAUGCUCCCCAUCUCGAGUCUGAAGGCUAAAUUCCUCAUCGGGUUCUCUAGAUGAUUUUGAUUUUGAGCUCAUGCUCCCAGGAGCUGGGCCCCGUGACACCUUUCAGAUGAUGCAUCCAUGGAGAUUUCUUAAUUUUCAAACACUCUUUCAUAAAGAUGACUGUCUUAUGGUGUGCGACAGUGGCCUUGGAAAGACUGUGCUGCUGGGUCCAGAGGGCUGCUCAGGUCGUCCAGUGGAAUGGGCUGGAAGCUUUGUCUGACGACCAUUUGGAGUUUGACAGCUUUUAUUAUCACAGUGGAGAGUCCUGCAGAACGGUAGUAACUUCCCUUCUCAAGAUGUCUUCUCAAAGUCCCUUUGUGGUCGCCAAAAAUGUUACCGGAGAAAUUGCAGGGUUCUUGUCUUUGCGCAAGAAAGAAUUCAGGCGUGAGACAGAGAGUAGUGGGAGGUAAAAUAGCAAGGUUUAUUAGGGAAGGGACAUCUGUAAGGAUGGAUGGGCACCUCUCCAGACAGAGCCUGAGAGACUGAGGGGCGGGGGGAGUGAGGUUACAUGAUUGAGUAGAGAGAUUACACCUGACCAGGCCAGGUGGGCGGCUCAGCAGAGAGGCAGAGGGCUGAGCACCUCCAUGAUAUAGUUUUAUGUGUCUCCAGAAAGUUACAGAAAGAGCUUAGGGAUUCAGAGAAGGUGUGGUGGUUGGGAGUAGAUGGGGAGAGUCACAGUAAAAAUGCAGAUAUCUUUCUCUAGUGUUCCAGUCCAUCUGCUAACUGGAGGAAAAUAAAGAAAAUGAUGCAAGUUUUUAUUCUCUUACAGAAAGUGUAAAAAGAAAUGGGCAGGAGGGAGGGGCAGGCACUCAGUCUAGUGUUGAAGAUGCUGGUUGGGACACCUGAACGCCUGGGUUCAAAUCCCAGCUCUGCUCUUGCUUCCAGCUUCUACCAAUGUGCACACUGGGAGGCAGCAGGUAAUUGGGUUCCUGUCAUUCACACGGGAGACCUGAAUCAAAUUCUCAGCUCUUGGCUUCCACGUCUCCCAAUCUAGCUAUUGCUGGCAUUUGUACAGCGAGUUAGUGAAUAGAAGCUCUGUAUCUGUUCCUGUCACUCAUUCUUUCUCUUUCUCAUUGCCCUUCAAAUAAAUAAAUACAGAACCAGGAGAUAAGUGAAAUAUGAGUAACUGGGUCAGCGUUACCAUUGUGAGCCUUGUAUUCAUAGGUUGCCAAUUUGGAAAACUCAGGAAGUACAUAGUAUUUUUUUAAAAUCCCUAAGCCAUGUUUAUCUACUACAGGAGAGAACGAUCCAACAUGAGAAGCAGGAUACACAGCAGACUCUUAGAAUGGCAGAUGUCCUAAACAGCACUCUGGCCUCAGAAUCAGCCCUUAAGGCAUUCAGAUCUGGCUAAAAAGCCCAUGAAAAUAUUUCAGGCAUGGAAAGCCAAGACACUCUGGAAAAAAAAAAAAAAAAAAAAUACCUAAAUGAAAGAUCUCUGUGAGUGAGAUCCCAGUGGAAAGAAUGCACCAUCAAAGGAGGAGGUACCUUUCUCUGAAGGGAGGAGAGAACUUCCACUUUGACUAUGACCUUGUCUAAAUAAGAUCGGAGUUGGUGAACUCAAAAGGCUUUCAUAUCCUUGGCAACUCAUGACAAGAGCCUAGGGUGAUUACUGACACCAUAAACAAGAGUGUCAAUUGUUAAAUCAACAAUGGGAGUCAUUGUGCACUUAUUCCUCAUGUAGGAUCUCUGUCCUUAAUGUGUUGUACAAUGUGAAUUAAUGCUAUAACUAGUACUCAAACAGUACUUUACACUUUGUGUGUCUGUGUGGGUGCAAACUGUUGAAAUCUUUACUUAAUAUAUGCUAAAUUGAUCUUCUGUAUAUAAAGAGAAUUGAAAAUAAAUCUUAAUAUGAAUGGGAUGGGAGAGGGAGCAGGA